This 1687-nucleotide ribosomal RNA is filed under the name Meda fulgida (spikedace). Its description in RNAcentral is "16S ribosomal RNA". It matches the Rfam family "Bacterial large subunit ribosomal RNA". Lineage: Eukaryota; Metazoa; Chordata; Actinopteri; Cypriniformes; Leuciscidae. The record is from RNAcentral.
ACCCGCUAGCUAGCUUAACUAUUAAUAUAAUUUACAAAUGUUUAUAACAGAACAAGACCUUACAACAUAAAUUAAACCAUUUUUUUACCUGAGUAUGGGAGACAGAAAAGGUUCACCCUUAAAGCGAUAGAGAAAGUACCGCAAGGGAAAGCUGAAAGAGAUAUGAAAUAGCCCAUAUAAGUACCAUAAAACAAAGAUUAAACCUUGUACCUUUUGCAUCAUGAUUUAGCCAGUAACCCCAAGCGAAGAGACCUUUAGUUUGAAACCCCGAAACCAAGUGAGCUACCCCGAGACAGCCUAUAUUAACUUAGGGCUAACCCGUCUCUGUAGCAAAAGAGUGGGGAGAGCUCCGGGUAGAAGUGACAGACCUACCGAACUUGGUGAUAGCUGGUUGCCUGAGAAGUGGAUAGAAGUUCAGCCUCACGCCCCCCAAAUCAGAGAACUGGAAAUUAAGAUUCUUAGGGAGAUGCGCGAGAGUUAGUUGAAGGGGGUACAGCCCCUUUAACAAAGGAUACAACCUUCACAGGAGGAUAAAGAUCAUAAUACGUAAGACAUACUGUUCUAGUGGGCCUGAAAGCAGCCACCUAAGCAGAAAGCGUUAAAGCUCGGACAGAUGGAAGUUUAUUAUACCGAUAGUAAAUCUUAUUCCCCUAACUAUAUCAGACCAACCCAUGCCCACAUGGAAGAGAUUAUGCUAAAAUGAGUAACAAGAAGAUAUGAUCUUCUCCCGGCACAGGCGUAAACCAGAUCGGACAAGCCGCUGGAAAUUAACGAACCCAACCCAAGAGGGAACUGUGAACAAUGUAGACUUCAGGAAGAGCUCACAAUUAGGUGAUCGUUAACCCCACACUGGCGUGCCAUUUUAAGGGAAAGACUAAAAGAAGGGGAAGGAACUCGGCAAACACAAGCCUCGCCUGUUUACCAAAAACAUCGCCUCCUGCGGUUAUCAAGUAUAGGAGGUCCAGCCUGCCCGGUGACUAUGGGUUUAACGGCCGCGGUAUUUUGACCGUGCAAAGGUAGCGCAAUCACUUGUCUCUUAAAUAGAGACCUGUAUGAACGGCUAGACGAGGGCUUAACUGUCUCCCCCUUCUGGUCAGUGAAAUUGAUCUAUCCGUGCAGAAGCGGGUAUGAAUACACAAGACGAGAAGACCCUUUGGAGCUUAAGGUACAAGAUUCAACCACGUUAAACGACUUCCCGAAAAGCGCGAACUUAGUGGCGCCUGAAAUUUUACCUUCGGUUGGGGCGACCACGGAGGAAAAGUAAGCCUCCGAGUGGACUGGGCCUACUCCCUAAAGCCAAAAGAUACAUCUUUAGGCCGCAGUAUAGCUGACCAAAAAUGAUCCGGCCAAAGGCCGAUCAACGGACCAAGUUACCCUAGGGAUAACAGCGCAAUCCUCUCCCAGAGCCCAUAUCGACGAGGGGGUUUACGACCUCGAUGUUGGAUCAGGACAUCCUAAUGGUGCAGCCGCUAUUAAGGGUUCGUUUGUUCAACGAUUAAAGUCCUACGUGAUCUGAGUUCAGACCGGAGUAAUCCAGGUCAGUUUCUAUCUGUAACGCUACUUUUUCUAGUACGAAAGGAUCGGGAAAGAGGGGCCUAUGCUUAUAGUAUGCCCCGCCCCUAAUUGAUGAGGACAAAUGAAUUAAGUAAAGGGAGGGCCGAAGCCCUGCCAUCCAAGAUAAGGAUAU